AGGAUAACAGUCGAAACUCCCUUGACCGGGAGUCUACCGGGCUUGCUCUCCCGGUACUGAUGAGACAGAGCAACA
RNAcentral lists this non-coding RNA (75 nucleotides) under uncultured organism. The record is from RNAcentral.